Molecule: ribosomal RNA, 648 nt
Filed under: uncultured bacterium
Lineage: Bacteria
Description: bacterial SSU rRNA
Rfam family: Bacterial small subunit ribosomal RNA
Source: RNAcentral
UUCUUUAUCACCGAGUGCUUGCACUCACCGAUAAAGAGUUGAGUGGCGAACGGGUGAGUAACACGUGGGCAACCUGCCCAAAAGAGGGGGAUAACACUUGGAAACAGGUGCUAAUACCGCAUAACCAUAGUUACCGCAUGGUAACUAUGUAAAAGGUGGCUAUGCUACCGCUUUUGGAUGGGCCCGCGGCGCAUUAGCUAGUUGGUGGGGUAAAGGCUUACCAAGGCAAUGAUGCGUAGCCGAACUGAGAGGUUGAUCGGCCACAUUGGGACUGAGACACGGCCCAAACUCCUACGGGAGGCAGCAGUAGGGAAUCUUCCACAAUGGGCGAAAGCCUGAUGGAGCAACGCCGCGUGGGUGAAGAAGGUCUUCGGAUCGUAAAACCCUGUUGUUAGAGAAGAAAGUGCGUGAGAGUAACUGUUCACGUUUCGACGGUAUCUAACCAGAAAGCCACGGCUAACUACGUGCCAGCAGCCGCGGUAAUACGUAGGUGGCAAGCGUUAUCCGGAUUUAUUGGGCGUAAAGGGAACGCAGGCGGUCUUUUAAGUCUGAUGUGAAAGCCUUCGGCUUAACCGGAGUAGUGCAUUGGAAACUGGGAGACUUGAGUGCAGAAGAGGAGAGUGGAACUCCAUGUGUAGCGGUGAAAUG